Molecule: long non-coding RNA, 200 nt
Filed under: Elaeis guineensis (African oil palm)
Lineage: Eukaryota; Viridiplantae; Streptophyta; Magnoliopsida; Arecales; Arecaceae
Description: long non-coding RNA (EGUI_LNC048335)
Source: RNAcentral
ACAGCAGAAAUAGCUCCAGAGUCGGUCACGUUCAGUGCAGAUGUACCCUUACAUCUCACCUGUAUGCCAUACCAGUGUCUCCACACUCAUUGGUUAAGAGGACAACCAACCUAUAUGGCACACAAUGACCUAUGCUUGAUAAACAUUAUCGUCCUUGAUAACAACGUAUCAUUUGGUCGCGAACAGAUUUAAGGACUAAA